AUUGAACGCUGGCGGCAUGCUUUACACAUGCAAGUCGAACGGUAACAGCACUUCGGUGGCUGACGAGUGGCGAACGGGUGAGUAAUACAUCGGAACGUGCCUAGUAGUGGGGGAUAACUACUCGAAAGAGUAGCUAAUACCGCAUGAGAUCUAAGGAUGAAAGCAGGGGACCUUCGGGCCUUGCGCUACUAGAGCGGCUGAUGGCAGAUUAGGUAGUUGGUGGGAUAAAAGCUUACCAAGCCGACGAUCUGUAGCUGGUCUGAGAGGACGACCAGCCACACUCGGACUGAGCCACGGCCCAGACUCCUACGGGAGGCAGCAGUGGGGAAUUUUGGGCAGUGGGCGCAAGCCUGAUCCAGCAAUGCCGCGUGCAGGAUGAAGGCCUUCGGGUUGUAAACUUCUCUGGCACGGAAUGAAAAGCCGUCUUCUAAUACGGGGAGGUCUUGGCGGUACCGUAGGAAUAAGCACCAGCUAACUACGUG
Molecule: ribosomal RNA, 482 nt
Filed under: uncultured bacterium
Lineage: Bacteria
Description: partial 16S ribosomal RNA
Rfam family: Bacterial small subunit ribosomal RNA
Source: RNAcentral